Long non-coding RNA from Cyprinus carpio (common carp), 938 nucleotides. The record is from Ensembl. NCBI's taxonomy places the organism in Eukaryota, Metazoa, Chordata, Actinopteri, Cypriniformes, Cyprinidae.
CUUUUGGUGGGAAUGUACAUGGGAAGGAGACAUGUGAAUCCUUACAUUAAGCCAUGCAAUUAAUGUAAUCCAAGAUGAAGCCGUUUUUUCCAUGUCUCCUCUUUCACAAUAAGACACCCUCCCCUCGCACAUUCUCAAUGGCCUUUGAGGAGGUAUAAAAGCCUUGGAGGCUGCUGUUGCCACAGGACCAGUUCAAGUGCAAUACUACAUUGUGUACUGUACACCGCCGAACCCUGUCUCUGACCUCCAGCCAUGCUGACCAGGAACAUUCUCAUCCUCUGCUCAUUGGCGCUAGUACUGGUUAAAGCGGACCUUGAAGCAGCUGAAGGAGGGUCCCAAGCCAUGUUUGCGACAGAUCCCGAUUCAACCUCAGAUGAAGCUCCAACUGAAAGCAUGAACCUGGUCUCACCUGACCUGCCCAACGAAGAUGAAGCUCCAGACUCAGAGGAGGCGACAGCGGCUGUGAAACCCGCCCCGGUCCCAGUCCAGCGUGCAACCAAAUCCCACAAUGCAUCAGCACGCAAGCGGAGCAAGCCCAUCACUGCCUCAAAAAAGAGAUCAAGAAACCUCCGUCCCUGAGACAUGAACUGUGGAGAGAGAAACAGGGCAAAGCUGCAAUGACAAGGCAGUAACAGAAUGAGAAAAACAAAUGAUAUAGAUGAUGUUUUCAGAGGCAUUUUUUGUUUUUGUUUGUUUUGAGAAUCUUGAACUAGACUUUAUCCUCUGUGAUGUACUGAUUGGUUUGUGUUUGACUGUGUGUUUGUGUAGGUGUGAAUGCUUAUGACCUCUGUUAAAGGUCUGGUAAUGUGAGCUACACAAUGUGCUUGCCAAAUAUUCUUCCAAACUUUAUCCAGAGGCAAAGCUGACAUGGACACUUUAUAGGGUUGAUUUCAUUUUAGAUCAGACUAGAAAAUAAAUUUAUUGAAAAUUUCUAGACA